UGGCUUGACUUAUGCAAGUCCUGUGCAC
RNAcentral lists this non-coding RNA (28 nucleotides) under Mus musculus (house mouse). Lineage: Eukaryota; Metazoa; Chordata; Mammalia; Rodentia; Muridae. The record is from RNAcentral.